UAAUCCAGGAUGGGAUCAUGAGUUCACAUGUCCGCAUGAUUAAAGGUAUUUUCCGGUAGACGAUGGGGAUGCGUUCCAUUAGAUAGUAGGCGGGGUAACGGCCCACCUAGUCAACGAUGGAUAGGGGUUCUGAGAGGAAGGUCCCCCACAUUGGAACUGAGACACGGUCCAGACUCCUACGGGAGGCAGCAGUGAGGAAUAUUGGUCAAUGGGCGAUGGCCUGAACCAGCCAAGUAGCGUGAAGGAUGACUGCCCUAUGGGUUGUAAACUUCUUUUAUAAAGGAAUAAAGUCGGGUAUGCAUACCCGUUUGCAUGUACUUUAUGAAUAAGGAUCGGCUAACUCCGUGCCAGCAGCCGCGGUAAUACGGAGGAUCCGAGCGUUAUCCGGAUUUAUUGGGUUUAAAGGGAGCGUAGAUGGAUGUUUAAGUCAGUUGUGAAAGUUUGCGGCUCAACCGUAAAAUUGCAGUUGAUACUGGAUGUCUUGAGUGCAGUUGAGGCAGGCGGAAUUCGUGGUGUAGCGGUGAAAUGCUUAGAUAUCACGAAGAACUCCGAUUGCGAAGGCAGCCUGCUAA
Molecule: ribosomal RNA, 572 nt
Filed under: uncultured Bacteroidales bacterium
Lineage: Bacteria; Pseudomonadati; Bacteroidota; Bacteroidia; Bacteroidales
Description: bacterial SSU rRNA
Rfam family: Bacterial small subunit ribosomal RNA
Source: RNAcentral